UGGAUAAGACAUGCCAGUCGAACGAGGCUAGCUUGGUAGCAAUACCGGGUUGGCUUAGUGGCGAACGGGUGCGUAACACGUGACCAACCUUCCCAAAAGUGGGGAAUAGCUCGCCGAAAGGCGAAUUAAUACCGCAUGUACCUCAAAGCAAUUUGAGGCAAAGCAGCAAUGCGCUUUUGGAUGGGGUCGCGGCCUAUCAGCUAGUUGGUGGGGUUAAGGCUCACCAAGGCAGCGACGGGUAGCUGGUCUGAGAGGACGACCAGCCACACUGGAACUGAGACACGGUCCAGACACCUACGGGUGGCAGCAGUCGAGAAUUUUUCUCAAUGGGGGAAACCCUGAAGGAGCGACGCCGCGUGGAGGAUGAAGGCUUUCGGGUUGUAAACUCCUGUCAUUUGGGAACAAAGUCCGCCUCUGGCGGAUGUGAUAGUACCAGAAGAGGAAGAGACGGCUAACUCUGUGCCAGCAGCCGCGGUAAUACAGAGGUCUCAAGCGUUGUUCGGAUUCAUUGGGC
RNAcentral lists this ribosomal RNA (514 nucleotides) under uncultured bacterium. RNAcentral describes it as "bacterial SSU rRNA". It matches the Rfam family "Bacterial small subunit ribosomal RNA", at positions 45 to 559 of the family's 1533-position model. The record is from RNAcentral.